GUCAGGAUGGCUGAGCGGUUGAAGGCGCCAGACGCAAGGCUUGAUUUCUUACUCGCUUCAGAGGUUUUUGGUCUCUGAAAGGGGGCGUGGGUUCAAAUCCCACUGCUGACA
Molecule: non-coding RNA, 111 nt
Organism: Crenichthys baileyi (White River springfish)
Lineage: Eukaryota; Metazoa; Chordata; Actinopteri; Cyprinodontiformes; Goodeidae
Source: the annotation of a GenBank genome assembly